Non-coding RNA from Erigeron canadensis, 81 nucleotides. NCBI's taxonomy places the organism in Eukaryota, Viridiplantae, Streptophyta, Magnoliopsida, Asterales, Asteraceae. The record is from the annotation of a RefSeq genome assembly.
GUCGAGAUGGCCGAGUUGGUCUAAGGCGCCAGGUUAAGGACCUGUUCCGAAAGGGCGUGGGUUCGAAUCCCACUCUCGAUA